UACAGAGGGGGCAAGCGUUGUUCGGAAUUACUGGGCGUAAAGGGCGCGUAGGCGGCCUUCUAAGUCGAACGUGAAAUCCCCGGGCUCAACCCGGGAACUGCGUCCGAUACUGGAAGGCUUGAAUCCGGGAGAGGGAUGUGGAAUUCCAGGUGUAGCGGUGAAAUGCGUAGAUAUCGGAAGGAACACCUGUGGCGAAAGCGGCUCACUGGACCACAACUGACGCUGAUGCACGAAAGCUAGGGGAGCAAACAGG
RNAcentral lists this ribosomal RNA (253 nucleotides) under uncultured bacterium. RNAcentral's name for it is "partial 16S ribosomal RNA". It matches the Rfam family "Bacterial small subunit ribosomal RNA", at positions 524 to 776 of the family's 1533-position model. The record is from RNAcentral.